This 481-nucleotide ribosomal RNA is filed under the name Trichoderma sp. AH-Group-10. Its description in RNAcentral is "eukaryotic LSU rRNA". The stretch from base 175 to 328 matches the Rfam family "5.8S ribosomal RNA". Lineage: Eukaryota; Fungi; Ascomycota; Sordariomycetes; Hypocreales; Hypocreaceae. The record is from RNAcentral.
UNNNACUCCAAACCCAUGUGACCAUACCAAACUGUUGCCUCSGCGGGGUCACGCCCCGGGUGCGUCGCAGCCCCGGAACCAGGCGCCCGCCGGAGGGACCAACCAAACUCUUUCUGUAGUCCCCUCGCGGACGUUAUUUCUUACAGCUCUGAGCAAAAAUUCAAAAUGAAUCAAAACUUUCAACAACGGAUCUCUUGGUUCUGGCAUCGAUGAAGAACGCAGCGAAAUGCGAUAAGUAAUGUGAAUUGCAGAAUUCAGUGAAUCAUCGAAUCUUUGAACGCACAUUGCGCCCGCCAGUAUUCUGGCGGGCAUGCCUGUCCGAGCGUCAUUUCAACCCUCGAACCCCUCCGGGGGUCCGGCGUUGGGGAUCGGGAACCCCUAAGACGGGAUCCCGGCCCCGAAAUACAGUGGCGGUCUCGCCGCAGCCUCUCAUGCGCAGUAGUUUGCACAACUCGCACCGGGAGCGCGGCGCGUCCACGUC